This 300-nucleotide long non-coding RNA is filed under the name Pan troglodytes (chimpanzee). RNAcentral describes it as "long non-coding RNA NONPTRT000322". Lineage: Eukaryota; Metazoa; Chordata; Mammalia; Primates; Hominidae. The record is from RNAcentral.
CGGAAAUGUAGCUGUAUGCCUGGAGGGAUAUACAGCCAGACCAGGCUCACUCCACCCAGUCCUGUGACUCAUGACUCAACUGGUCCUGUGGACCCCCAAUCAAGAGAUGGACUCAGCUCAUGUGGACCAUUUUCCAUACCCCUAUGACUGCCUCCGCAACCAACGAGCAACACCCAUCACCUAGUCACCUGCCCACCAUACUAUCCUUGAAAAUCUCUAAUCUUCAAGCCUUCAGGGAGACUGAUUUGAGUAAUAACUCUAUCUUCUGUGUGUCUGGCCUCGUGUUAAUUAAACUCUUUC